Molecule: ribosomal RNA, 245 nt
Filed under: uncultured bacterium
Lineage: Bacteria
Description: partial small subunit ribosomal RNA
Rfam family: Bacterial small subunit ribosomal RNA
Source: RNAcentral
AGAAUCAACGCUGGCGGCGUGCCUAACACAUGCAAGUCGCACGAGAAAAGGGAGCAAUCCCUGAGUAAAGUGGCGCACGGGUGAGUAACACGUGACUAACCUACCCUCGAGUGGGGAAUAACCUAGAGAAAUCUGGGCUAAUACCGCAUAACACUUACGAGUCAAAGCAGCAAUGCGCGUUGGGGAGGGGGUCGCGGCAGAUUAGCUAGUUGGCGGGUAAUGGCCCACCAAGGCGAUGAUCUGUA